Molecule: long non-coding RNA, 1726 nt
Organism: Macaca fascicularis (crab-eating macaque)
Lineage: Eukaryota; Metazoa; Chordata; Mammalia; Primates; Cercopithecidae
Source: Ensembl
GUCCUGUUCUAACUAGGAGACCUUGGCCUGGGUCACCCAGAGGGCAGGACCUGGGCCACUAUUGCUGACCACGUCCUGUCACUCCUAGGCCUUGAAACAUUCCAGUUUAGAGACCGGAAGCCCAGGAAGAGAAGGACACACACCAGCUCUCCCUGCUGCCGAGCCCUCCCCACCUGUGGACGGAGACAUCCUCUCUGGGUGCUGGGAUAAGCAAAUCCAGGGCCAGCAGGAGGGAGAAGUGGCAUACUCACGCCCAGCGGAAGCUUCUGGAUCCAAUGCCAGAGCCAGCACAGCAGAUCUCUGUCUGUGUCCCACGUGUGGGCCCCUGUUGGCCUGGCCAGCCCUGGCCAGUGACAGUUGCAUGUAGGUGUCUGGUUGGCUGCCAGGCUGAUGCUGAGCCCCGAGGCGGGCAUAUGUGGUGGUACAUGGCCCUAGCUGUGUGUAUUUGCCUUUUGCAAAGGGCUGUGCAUCAUGGCAUCAUCGUGGGUUUCAUGCUUCUCUCUAUCACACGGCCAACUUAAAGUACCGCAAGCUGGCCAGGUGUGGCGGCUCACAUUUUGGGAGGCUGGGAAGGGCAGAUUGCUUGAGCCUCAGGAGUUUGAGACCAGCCUGGACAACGUGGUGAAACCUCGCCUCUACAAAAACAUUUAUAGAUUAGUUGGUCCUGGUGCUGCAUAUCUAUAGUCCCAGCUCCUCGGGAGGCUGUGUGGGAGGGUCAUCUGAGCCCAGGGAAGUGAAGGCUGCAGGGAGCUGUGAUCACGCCACUGCACUCCUGCCCAGGUGACAGAGCCAGACCCUGUCUCAAAAAAAAAAAAAAAAGAAAAAAAAAGAAAAACUCUGAAAGCAAAGGGGAGGGGCCGGCUGCCUGGCCUUGAUGAGGUCAAGAGGUAGCAUUUCUCCACAUGUGGUGGGUUGAAUGGCGGUCCCCGAAAGCUUCUCUAAGUCCUCACCCCCAUACCCAUGAAUGCAACCGUGCAACCGUAUCUAGAAAUAGGAUCUCAGCUGGGCGCAGCGGCUCACACCUGUAAUCCCAGCACUUUGGGAGGCUGAGGCAGGUGGAUCACCUGAGGUCAGGUGUUCAAGACCAAGCCUGGCCAACAUGGUGAGACCCCAUCUCUACUAAAAAUACAAAAAUUAGCCGGGCAUGGUGGCAUGCACCUGUAGUCCCAGCUACUCUAGAGGCUGAGGCAGGAGAAUCCCUUGAACUUGGGAGGUGGAGGCUGCAGUGGGCUGAGAUUGCAACACUGCACUCCAGCCUGGGAGACAGAGUGAGACUCUUGUCUCAAACAACAACAACAACAGCAACAACAACAAAUAGAAAUAGGAUCUCUGCAGAGGUAACCAGGGUGAGGGUCUUGGGAUGAGAUCAUUCUGGAUAUAGGGUGGGCCCUAAAUCCAUUGACAGGGGUCCUUGUAGGAAGAGAAGGAAGGUUGGGCACAGUGGCUCACGCCUGUAAUCCCAGCACUUUGGGAGGCCAAGGCGGGUGGAUUACUUGAGGUCAGGAGUUCAAGACCAGCCUGGCUAACAUGGCAAAACCCCAUCUCUACUAAAAAUACAAAAAUUAGCUGGGUGUGGUGGCACACACCUGUAGUCCCAGCUACUCGGGAGGCUGAGGCAGGAGAAUCGCUUGAACUCGGGAGGCAGAGGUUGCAGUGAGCCAAGGUCUCGUCACUGCACUCCAGCCUGGGCAACAGAGUGAGACUCCGUCUUAAAAAAAAAAAAAAA